Oncorhynchus tshawytscha (Chinook salmon) is the source of this 1505-nucleotide long non-coding RNA. RefSeq lists it as uncharacterized. Lineage: Eukaryota; Metazoa; Chordata; Actinopteri; Salmoniformes; Salmonidae. The record is from RefSeq and is a predicted model, not a curated record. The transcript is spliced from 2 exons.
GUGCCUUAUUGCUAUUAGAAACUGGUUACCAAUGUAAUUAGAGCAGUAAAAAUUAAAUGUUUUGUCAUACCCGUGGUAUACGGUCUGAUGUACCAUGGCUGUCAGCCAAUCAGCAUUCAGGGCUUGAACCACCCAGUUUGUAAUUCUCUAUAAAAUGGUGAGUGUCAACAUCCAGCUGUAUUUUGUCUGUUUUACAGCAGGCUAGUGUUCUCAGGAGAAUCCAGCUGAGUUUAAACACAGCAUGCUGUUUUCUUCCAUAGUGAGUAACAUGCCAGGGCCAGGAGCCGCUUCCAGGAGCCGCUUCCAGGAGCCGCUUCCAGGAGCCGCUUCCAGGAGCCGCUUCCAGGAGCCGCUUCCAGGAGCCGCUUCCAGGAGCCGCUUCCAGGAGCCGCUUCCAGGAGCCGCUUCCAGGCCACUCAGUGUGUGGUGUGUUGCUCUCUCCUGCGUCUCUCCCAUUACCAUGACAUUCCUUCACACAGACACUGCCCCACUGACGGCCAUCUUUGCUUGUUCCAUCGCCAUAAGCAACAACAGCCCAGCAGAGAGAAGGAACACAGUGCACAUCAAAAAUGAAGACAUUGUACACGACACUGUGCACAUCAAAUUAAAAAAAGUGUAAUGAACCCAGAUGUUUUCAGUCUAAUCUAACCUACUCUCUGACAGGAUAUGUGUAAUCUAAAGAGAAUAUAGUGACAUGGAGUUGCAUCUCCUCCAGUAUGUAUGUAAGCGCUGCACAUUAGUCUUUGGCAUGGUUCAGUAUCGGAGAAGCCCAUUGGUUGAGCUGACGUUCACGCCAGACCAAUAACAGGAGAACAGAAGAUCAGGUCAAUGCUUCAUCGUCGUGGAUUAAAAACCUCGUAUUUACUUGGUUAAAUAACAUCCACAUACGUUUCCCAGUGACAUAAAGAGGGAAAUAAAAAUAAACACAUUAAAUCUGAGUCUGAAUCGAUUUUUUUUAAAACUGUUGAGUUUGAAAGAGAUCCACCAUAUUAUCAAUUGUAAGACUUUAAUUCUUUAAGACUUUAAAUUCUUUACGACAGUAUUAAGACAUCUAUAAACGUUCUUCAGGGCUUGAGACUUUUUCAGAGAGGCAGCUGUUCUCAUACACUCCUCAGAGUACACUACAGCUGUACCAACCCACCACAUCCACCCCAGGAGGUUAACAGACGGCCCUACCGGGACAACCCACCACAUCCACCCCAGGAGGUUAACAGACGGCCCUACCAGGACAACCCACCACAUCCACCCCAGGAGGUUAACAGACAGCCCUACCAGGACAACCCACCACAUCCACCCCAGGAGGUUAACAGACGGCCCUACCAGGACAACCCACCACAUCCACCCCAGGAGGUUAACAGACGGCCCUACCAGGACAACCCACCACAUCCACCCCAGGAGGUUAACAGACAGCCCUACCAGGACAACCCACCACAUCCACCCCAGGAGGUUAACAGACAGCCCUACCAGGACAACCCACCACAUCCACCCCAGGAGGUUAACAGACA